RNAcentral lists this ribosomal RNA (432 nucleotides) under uncultured bacterium. RNAcentral describes it as "bacterial SSU rRNA". It matches the Rfam family "Bacterial small subunit ribosomal RNA", at positions 50 to 526 of the family's 1533-position model. The record is from RNAcentral.
AACACAUGCAAGUCGAACGGGCGUAGCAAUACGUCAGUGGCAGACGGGUGAGUAACACGUGGGAACGUACCUCUUGGUUCGGAACAACACAGGGAAACUUGUGCUAAUACCGGAUAAGCCCUUACGGGGAAAGAUUUAUCGCCGAGAGAUCGGCCCGCGUCUGAUUAGCUAGUUGGUAGGGUAAUGGCCUACCAAGGCGACGAUCAGUAGCUGGUCUGAGAGGAUGAUCAGCCACAUUGGGACUGAGACACGGCCCAAACUCCUACGGGAGGCAGCAGUGGGGAAUAUUGGACAAUGGGGGCAACCCUGAUCCAGCCAUGCCGCGUGAGUGAUGAAGGCCCUAGGGUUGUAAAGCUCUUUUGUGCGGGAAGAUAAUGACGGUACCGCAAGAAUAAGCCCCGGCUAACUUCGUGCCAGCAGCCGCGGUAAUUC